ACUGUUUCUCUUAAAACCUAAAUAGGCAACUGAGACUCAAUCACGAAGCUAAAGAGUUCUGGCAAGGAGAAUUUCCAAAAUUGACAAUUGGUUUGUAAAUCUAGUUCGAUUUAUAGAAAGAUGUGCUAUGCUUUUUUCACAGGAAAGACUCUUUCUUCAAAUAAUGACUCAGCGUACCUAUAGUGCUGGUGUACCUGCAUCCAGGAAGCCUAGAGCAAUGCAGACCUGUAAUACUGUUUGUACGCAGAUGCUGUUACAUAGUAAAGACGUUCUUUGCUCUCAGACGCUUCUGUUACCCUUGAGCCCUGCAACAUCAGACACAGAUUGCAAAAUGGUCAAAGAAGAGACUGUGAAAGAGGUGUCAGAUGAAGAUUUUAAACUGUGAGUAAUUUUUUUCAGAUAAACAAGGAGGGAUAAAGAACUAGCGUCUCACCCUCAAGCAACGUUUUUUUCUGCCCAGCCUGCCUUUUUUAAGGCCAACAUCUAGCAAAUCACACCCAGUUUUGCUGGGUAUGCGGAGCAUGGGUCAAAAAAUGGCAUCUUAAGUAGGCUA
Molecule: long non-coding RNA, 553 nt
Filed under: Struthio camelus australis
Lineage: Eukaryota; Metazoa; Chordata; Aves; Struthioniformes; Struthionidae
Description: lncRNA (ENSSCUG00000003141.1)
Source: RNAcentral